Pygoscelis adeliae (Adelie penguin) is the source of this 298-nucleotide long non-coding RNA. RefSeq lists it as uncharacterized. Lineage: Eukaryota; Metazoa; Chordata; Aves; Sphenisciformes; Spheniscidae. The record is from RefSeq and is a predicted model, not a curated record. The transcript is spliced from 2 exons.
AGGUACGUACCGUUACAACAACAGAAGAGAGAUACAGAACUCUCCUCCUCUAACCUGUACCUGCCAGAGUGCGGUGGCAAACAUGUCAUCUCCAUUGAUCAAUGAAAAAAGACAUUCGGAAACCAUGUUCAGAGAGCGAAACUAGAGAGGAGGGAAGAAGACAAGGACAUCCAUCGCCGCUUUAUUUGGAUCCAAAGACUGCACACAACAUGAAGAUACACAGCUGUUGACUGGCUGCCUUGGAUCUCUUUGUACGCCCAGGGUAUGACAAGGUGCAAACAGUAAAAUAUUUGAGGAA